RNAcentral lists this non-coding RNA (18 nucleotides) under Arabidopsis thaliana (thale cress). The record is from RNAcentral. Lineage: Eukaryota; Viridiplantae; Streptophyta; Magnoliopsida; Brassicales; Brassicaceae.
UCCGCCUUUGGUGUGCAU